RNAcentral lists this ribosomal RNA (332 nucleotides) under Leiorhagium sp. NeKa43B_2. Its description in RNAcentral is "eukaryotic LSU rRNA". Lineage: Eukaryota; Metazoa; Mollusca; Gastropoda; Littorinimorpha; Tateidae. The record is from RNAcentral.
GCGGCCACGGGUCCGUCCUGUGGCCACGCCCGUCUGAGGGUCGGCGACGUUCUACCCAUCGCUGGGAGGCUCGUGCCCAGCGCCUUGAGCUUUCGCAGGCUUUACAAAAAAAGUACUGCGUGGCUUGAAAUGCAGACCCGAAAUGUUUGUUUGUUUGCCUGGCUGCUGCUGUAAGUUGCGUGGCGACCUCAUGCGAGCAAAAGGACAUGGCUCGGAUAUAAAAUGAACGGUCUUUUGCUCUCGACCGCCGCGACGACCAACCACGGUAAGGCAACCAUCCCAUUUCCGACCUCAGAUCGGACGAGAUUACCCGCUGAAUUUAAGCNUAUCAC